UACAGAGGUUCCAAGCGUUGUUCGGAUUCACUGGGCGUAAAGGGUGCGUAGGCGGUCGGGUAAGUCUGAUGUGAAAUCUCACAGCUUAACUGUGAAACUGCAUUGGAUACUAUCCGGCUAGAGGAAUGGAGGGGAGACUGGAAUACUUGGUGUAGCAGUGAAAUGCGUAGAUAUCAAGUGGAACACCAGUGGCGAAGGCGAGUCUCUGGACAUUUCCUGACGCUGAGGCACGAAAGCCAGGGGAGCAAACGGG
RNAcentral lists this ribosomal RNA (253 nucleotides) under uncultured bacterium. Its description in RNAcentral is "partial 16S ribosomal RNA". It matches the Rfam family "Bacterial small subunit ribosomal RNA", at positions 524 to 776 of the family's 1533-position model. The record is from RNAcentral.